CCCCCUGUGAGAAUGCCCUACAGUUCCCCGCCCGGGAACAAGGAGCUGGUAUCAGGCACAUUUUAUUAAGCCCAUGACACCUUGCUAAGCCACACCCUCAAGGGAACUCAGCAGUGAUAAACAUUAAGCCAUAAGUGAAAACUUGACUUAGUCAAAGCUAACAGGGCCGGUAAAACUCGUGCCAGCCACCGCGGUUAUACGAGAGGCCCAAGUUGACAGUUGCCGGCGUAAAGAGUGGUUAAAGAAUUAAAAAAUACUAAAGCCGAACACCCUCAAAGCAGUUAUACGCACCCGAAGGUUAGAAGCCCUAUUACGAAGGUAGCUUUAUCUCUCCUGAACCCACGAGAGCUAUGGUACAAACUGGGAUUAGAUACCCCACUAUGCCUAGCCCUAAACAUUGAUAGUACUAUACACCCACUAUCCGCCUGGGAACUACGAGCAUCAGCUUGAAACCCAAAGGACUUGGCGGUGCUUUAGAUCCACCUAGAGGAGCCUGUUCUAGAACCGAUAACCCCCGUUCAACCUCACCUUUUCUUGUUUUCCCCGCCUAUAUACCGCCGUCGUCAGCUUACCCUGUGAAGGUCUAAUAGUAAGCAAAAUUGGCACAGCCCAAAACGUCAGGUCGAGGUGUAGCGUAUGGAAAGGGAAGAAAUGGGCUACAUUCUCUAUAACUAGUGAAUACGGACGAUGCACUGAAAAAACAUCUGAAGGAGGAUUUAGCAGUAAGCAGGAAAUAGAGCGUUCCGCUGAAACCGGCCCUGAAGCGCGCACACACCGCCCGUCACUCUCCCCAAGCUCAUAAACUAAUUAACUAAAACCCUAGAAUUGCAAAGGGGAGGCAAGUCGUAACAUGGUAAGUGUACCGGAAGGUGCACUUGGAAAAAC
Molecule: non-coding RNA, 885 nt
Filed under: Peristedion liorhynchus
Lineage: Eukaryota; Metazoa; Chordata; Actinopteri; Perciformes; Peristediidae
Description: partial 12S rRNA
Rfam family: Bacterial small subunit ribosomal RNA
Source: RNAcentral